Small nuclear RNA from Nycticebus coucang (slow loris), 104 nucleotides. NCBI's taxonomy places the organism in Eukaryota, Metazoa, Chordata, Mammalia, Primates, Lorisidae. The record is from RefSeq and is a predicted model, not a curated record.
AUGCUGGCUUUGGCAGCACAUACACUUAAAGUGGAACAAUACAGAGAUUAACAUGGCCCCUGCACAAGGAUGACAUGCAAGUUCAUGAAACAUUCUGAACCUUA